CAGCAGCCACGGGAAUACGUAGGGUGCGAGCGUUAAUCGGAAUUACUGGGCGUAAAGCGUGCGCAGGCGAUUUUGCAAGACAGGCGUGAAAUCCCCGGGCUCAACCUGGGAAUGGCGCUUGUGACUGCAAAGCUAGAGUGCGGCAGAGGGGGAUGGAAUUCCGCGUGUAGCAGUGAAAUGCGUAGAUAUGCGGAGGAACACCGAUGGCGAAGGCAAUCCCCUGGGCCUGCACUGACGCUCAUGCACGAAAGCGUGGGGAGCAAACAGGAUUAGAUACCCCUGUAGUCCCUGUCUCUUAUAC
RNAcentral lists this ribosomal RNA (301 nucleotides) under uncultured bacterium. Its description in RNAcentral is "partial 16S ribosomal RNA". It matches the Rfam family "Bacterial small subunit ribosomal RNA", at positions 509 to 807 of the family's 1533-position model. The record is from RNAcentral.